GCCCUUAGAGUUUGAUCCUGGCUCAGAUUGAACGCUGGCAGUAUGCUUAAGACAUGCAAGUCGUGCGGUAGAAGGCUUCGGCCUUUGAGAGCGGCGGACGGGUGAGUAACACGUGGGAAUCUGCCUAUUAGUGGGGGACAGCCCAGCGAAAGCUGGAUUAAUACCGCAUACGCCCUACGGGGGAAAGCAGCAAUGCGCUAAUAGAUGAGCCCGCGUAAGAUUAGCUAGUUGGUAAGGUAAAGGCUUACCAAGGCGACGAUCUUUAGCUGGUCUGAGAGGAUGGCCAGCCACAUCGGGACUGAGACGCGGCCCGGACUCCUACGGGAGGCAGCAGUCGGGAAUAUUGGACAAUGGGCGCAAGCCUGAUCCAGCAAUACCGCGUGUGUGAAGAAGGCCUGCGGGUUGUAAAGCACUUUCAGUUGGGAAGAUAAUGACGUUACCAACAGAAGAAGCACCGGCUAACUCCGUGCCAGCAGCCGCGGUAAUACGGAGGGUGCAAGCGUUAAUCGGAAUUACUGGGCGUAAAGCGUGCGUAGGCGGCCUGUUAAGUCAGAUGUGAAAGCCCCGGGCUUAACCUGGGAACUGCAUCUGAUACUGGGAGGCUAGAAUGUGGGAGAGGAGAGUGGAAUUUCCGGUGUAGCGGUGAAAUGCAUAGAGAUCGGAAGGAACACCAGUGGCGAAGGCGGCUCUCUGGACCAACAUUGACGCUGAGGCACGAAAGCGUGGGUAGCAAACAGGAUUAGAUACCCUGGUAGUCCACGCCGUAAACGAUGUCAACUAGCCGCCGGCCUCACUCUAGAGGUCGGUGGUGCAGCUAACGCAUUAAGUUGACCGCCUGGGGAGUACGGCCGCAAGGUUGAAACUCAAAGGAAUUGACGGGGGCCCGCACAAGCGGUGGAGCAUGUGGUUUAAUUCGAUGCAACGCGAAGAACCUUACCUGGUCUUGACAUGUAGUGAACUUCGCAGAAAUGUUUUGGUGCCUUCGGGAACACUAACACAGGUGCUGCACGGCUGUCGUCAGCUCGUGUCGUGAGAUGUUGGGUUAAGUCCCGCAACGAGCGCAACCCCCAUGUUCAGUUGCCAUCAGGUUAUGCUGGGCACUUUGAACAAACUGCCGGUGGUAAGCCGGAGGAAGGCGGGGAUGACGUCAAGUCCUCAUGGCCCUUACGGGCUGGGCUACACACGUACUACAAUGGCGGUGACAGAGGGAUGCAAUAGGGCAACCUGGAGCAAAUCCUCAAAAGCCGUCUCAGUUCAGAUUGUUCUCUGCAACUCGAGAGCAUGAAGUUGGAAUCGCUAGUAAUCGCUAAUCAGCAGGUAGCGGUGAAUACGUUCCCGGGCCUUGUACACACCGCCCGUCACACCAUGGGAGUUGGUUCUACCUGAAGCUGGUGUUGCUAACCGCAAGGAGGCAGCCAACCACGGUAGGGUCAGUGACUGGGGUGAAGUCGUAACAAGGUAACCAAGGG
This 1469-nucleotide ribosomal RNA is filed under the name uncultured bacterium. Its description in RNAcentral is "bacterial SSU rRNA". It matches the Rfam family "Bacterial small subunit ribosomal RNA". The record is from RNAcentral.